GUUGGACCAAAAAUUCUCAGGGAGGACAUUCACCUCUGACUGGAAUAAUACCUACUGGUUUUCAUCCAGAGAUAUAAAAGCACUUGACAAGCGUCAUUGUGGAAGAUCAUAAUGCCUCAGUAGUUAAAGGAAAAUGAGACAAGAACAAUAUAGCAGAUGCAUCUGGCAGGAUGGGGAAUAUUACAGCUACGAGGCACAUAUGCCAGAAGGAAAUUAAGAACAAUACACAUCUGUCUUGAAGACUGGCACCUUUUAGAGCCAACAUUCUAAACAAAGGAACAGCAUGUUACAAGUAGCCUCAGCAUAACUAUAAAUGUAAAGUAAAUAGCAGUUUGAUAUGUAGACACAAAAUAUGCUGAGAAAAAGGCUCUGCUUAUGUUUGUUUCAAACUAUCUCAUGCAAACUUUUCUCUAAGUUGCUAUAGCCGAGUAGUGGGCCAUUAGCUGAGGUACUGUGAUCAGUCAGGGGUCCACUUUUAUGCAGUGGAAGGGAUCAUAAAAACAUUGUAUGCAUUAUUUGUAUUUAGAGACAGGGACAUCACAUCACAGAGAAGAGAAGUGAGAUUUCUUCUCUAGCUCAUUUAAAGUCACACCUUGAUCAGCAUAUGUAUUUCUCAGAAUCUCACCAGCAGAAAGACUGGAGAAAAUUCAGAGAGAACAACACAAAGUAUUGGUGAACUGGAUGGAUGAACAUAUAAGAAAUGAUAACAAGAAAACUAUACAGCUUGGCUAACUGAUGACGAAAUAAAAGGCAUAACUGUCUGAAAGGAUGUAAAUUGUAAGGAUGUAGAGGAAUUAUUUAAGGUAGUAAAAAGGGGUAUUUAGGAGUUGGAGCUGGUUGAACAUUUCCAAAAUCUCAAGGAAAACAUGACAAAAAAUGUCCAGCAUCUUUUGACCAGCUCUAGUAGGACUGUUAGGAUGAAACUACAAAAGGGGACCAUUUAGGCUGAACUUGAGGGAAAAUGUUCUAAUGUUAGGUCCACUGUAAGACUAAAGAGCAGUAAUACAAAGUAAGUGGCAGAACCCUCAUUGCUUCAGGCAUCGAAAACUAGACUAAAUGAAGAAUUGGAAAGUAUAGUAAGAGGAAUGAUGGGGGAACAACAAGAUGAACUGAUAGGUCUUUAUUGUGUUCUAUAUCCAUAUUCCAUGAAUGAAUUGAAUGAUUCUCUGAAUGAGUUUAUUUAUACACUAUGGACAUCUGUUCCUUUAAAUGCAUUA
This is a long non-coding RNA of Dermochelys coriacea (leatherback sea turtle), 1217 nucleotides long. RefSeq lists it as uncharacterized. The record is from RefSeq and is a predicted model, not a curated record. The transcript has 3 exons. NCBI's taxonomy places the organism in Eukaryota, Metazoa, Chordata, Testudines, Dermochelyidae.